GACGAACGCUGGCGGCGUGCUUAACACAUGCAAGUCGAGCGGUAAGGCCCUUUCGGGGGUACACGAGCGGCGAACGGGUGAGUAACACGUGGGUGACCUGCCCUCAGCUCUGGGAUAAGCCCGGGAAACUGGGUCUAAUACCGGAUAUGACUUCAUGACGCAUGUUGUGGAGUGGAAAGCCUUGUGCGGCUGAGGAUGGGCCCGCGGCCUAUCAGCCUGUUGGUGGGGUGACGGCCUACC
RNAcentral lists this ribosomal RNA (240 nucleotides) under uncultured bacterium. RNAcentral describes it as "partial 16S ribosomal RNA". It matches the Rfam family "Bacterial small subunit ribosomal RNA", at positions 28 to 269 of the family's 1533-position model. The record is from RNAcentral.